RNAcentral lists this ribosomal RNA (116 nucleotides) under Pteropus alecto (black flying fox). Lineage: Eukaryota; Metazoa; Chordata; Mammalia; Chiroptera; Pteropodidae. The record is from RNAcentral.
GUCUACGGCCAUGCCACCCUGAACAAGCCUGAUGUCUGAUCUCGGAAGCUAAGCAGGGUCAGGCCUGGUUAAUGCUUGGAUGGCAGACCACCUAGGAGGACCAGGUGCUGUAGGCA